This 173-nucleotide ribosomal RNA is filed under the name uncultured bacterium. Its description in RNAcentral is "partial 16S ribosomal RNA". It matches the Rfam family "Bacterial small subunit ribosomal RNA", at positions 337 to 524 of the family's 1533-position model. The record is from RNAcentral.
UCCUACGGGAGGCAGCAGUCGAGAAUCUUCCGCAAUGGACGCAAGUCUGACGGAGCGAUGUCGCGUGCUGGAUGAAGUGCUUCGGUACGUAAACAGCUUUUAUGUGGGACGAAAUUAUUGACGGUACCACAUGAAUAAGGGGCUCCUAACUCUGUGCCAGCAGCCGCGGUAAU